This 1024-nucleotide long non-coding RNA is filed under the name Equus asinus (donkey). RNAcentral describes it as "lncRNA (ENSEASG00005037442.1)". The record is from RNAcentral. Lineage: Eukaryota; Metazoa; Chordata; Mammalia; Perissodactyla; Equidae.
CUGGCUACUACCUUGUGCAACUCUGAUUUCAUGGUGUGUCGUUUGAUAGUCCUUUGGAUUUUAUCCACUCCAAAUAAUUGAAGUACCAGUCAGAUACUCAUUCCGUAUACUGUGUUGAGUACUCUGAUAUCAGAGACAUAUCCUGCCCUCAAACAAGGCAGCCUGGUGAUGAAAAGAUGUAGAUAAUUAUAAUGAAAAAGCAAUUGCAGCAGUGAAAUAUUGAGAAAAGUCAUGAAGGGACAUUUAGGCAGCGUUUUGGAGCUGGUUAGAAUUGUGAAGGCAGAGACAAAGGAGCACUCCAGGUGGAACCGCAUGAACAGAGGCUCUGAGAUAGCCCAACCUAGGAUGUCCAGUUAGUCUGCAUUUUCAGAGAUGUGAAAGAAAUCAGCAGACGAGAAGGAUGGAAAAGUCUGUGAAGUAACCUUGAAUUAGAUGAUGAGGACUUCAAAUCUUACAUCUAUGCAAUGGAAUUCUGUGGCAAGUCACCAGAGAUGCUGACCAUGUUCUGACAGUGGAAGAGAGAACCAGUGGAGAUGUGAACUAGCCAGGAGCCUGGGAGGGCGUACGUCCAUGCCUGCAGUGGAGAAUGCAUACGAACACUGACAAGAGGUCCAGGAGGGCAAGGUGGAGUCCAGUUCCCUUGCACAUAGGCCCUGCUGUGUCUUGUUACAUUGAGGACCAACUGGAAUUCAGCCGUCAGAAACAUCCCCCACAUCCCUGCAAUGGCUGACACGAGAACACAGGGAAACCUACAUUACAUUACCAGGACCUACCACAUUGCCUGGCACAUGGUGGCUGCUGGAUGAACACUAGCUGAAUGAAUGCGUGAACACAGAAGCACACAUGGAUUCUAAGACACCGCACACCUGCUUCAGUUGACCCUACUCUUCUAGAAAUCUCAGCUACUCUCAGAGACUUGCCAGGAGCAGGGUACUUACCUGACCCUCUAUACACCUGUCAACAGAGGAAAGGUAUACUUAAGUUAAUUGGUAGUUUUAUAAUGAUGAUCUAUGUAUGAAAAAGA